This 481-nucleotide ribosomal RNA is filed under the name uncultured bacterium. Its description in RNAcentral is "partial 16S ribosomal RNA". It matches the Rfam family "Bacterial small subunit ribosomal RNA", at positions 28 to 507 of the family's 1533-position model. The record is from RNAcentral.
GACGAACGUUGGCGGCGUGCUUAAUACAUGCCAGUCAACUGAAGCAGUGGUAGCAAUAUCGCUGUGGAGGUGGCGCACGGGUGAGUAACACGUAGGUAAUCUGCCUUCAGGUCUGGCAUAACUCCGGGAAACCGGGGCUAAUAGCAGAUGAUGCAGCGGCUCGACAUCGAGACAGUUGUUAAAGCUAUGGCGCCUGAAGAUGAGCCUGCGUCUGAUUAGCUAGUUGGCGGGGUAACGGCCCAACAAGGCAACGAUCAGUAGCUGGUCUGAGAGGAUGAUCAGCCACACUGGAACUGAGACACGGUCCAGACUACUACGGGAGGUAGCAGUAAGGAAUAUUGCUCAAUGGGAGAAAUCCUGAGGCAGCAACGCCGCGUGAGGGACGAAGGGCUUUGGCUUGUAAACCUCUGUAGUGAGAGAAAAAAAUCCCAAUCUUUGGGACAUGAUGGUAUCUCAAAAGUAAGCCCCGGCUAACUACGUG